UCCGUAGGUGAACCUGCGGAAGGAUCAUUACCUAGAGUUGUAGGCUUUGCCUACCAUCUCUUACCCAUGUCUUUUGAGUACCUUCGUUUCCUCGGCGGGUCCGCCCGCCGAUUGGACAAACUUAAACCCUUUGUAAUUGAAAUCAGCGUCUGAAAAAACAUAAUAGUUACAACUUUCAACAACGGAUCUCUUGGUUCUGGCAUCGAUGAAGAACGCAGCGAAAUGCGAUAAGUAGUGUGAAUUGCAGAAUUCAGUGAAUCAUCGAAUCUUUGAACGCACAUUGCGCCCCUUGGUAUUCCAUGGGGCAUGCCUGUUCGAGCGUCAUUUGUACCUUCAAGCUCUGCUUGGUGUUGGGUGUUUGUCUCGCCUUUGCGUGUAGACUCGCCUUAAAACAAUUGGCAGCCGGCGUAUUGAUUUCGGAGCGCAGUACAUCUCGCGCUUUGCACUCAUAACGACGACGUCCAAAAAGUACUUUUUACACUCUUGACCUCGGAUCAGGUAGGGAUACCCGCUGAACUUAAGCAUAUCAAUAAGCGGAGGA
This 541-nucleotide ribosomal RNA is filed under the name Panax japonicus (Japanese ginseng). RNAcentral describes it as "partial 18S ribosomal RNA". The stretch from base 171 to 324 matches the Rfam family "5.8S ribosomal RNA". The record is from RNAcentral. Lineage: Eukaryota; Viridiplantae; Streptophyta; Magnoliopsida; Apiales; Araliaceae. RNAcentral also lists the same sequence under 4 other names.